Long non-coding RNA from Canis lupus familiaris (dog), 4055 nucleotides. RefSeq lists it as uncharacterized. Lineage: Eukaryota; Metazoa; Chordata; Mammalia; Carnivora; Canidae. The record is from RefSeq and is a predicted model, not a curated record. The transcript is spliced from 2 exons.
GGAAGGCCACAAGCUUCCGUGGCCCCAGCGGCCGGCGGCGGUGGCGAGGGCUCUUCGGGGCCAGCGUGAAGCCGGGCCCCCGCUCGGCGUCCAGGAUGGGUCCGGCCCUGCCGUGCGCACAGCCGACGGCGAACGCCGAAGCUGCGGCUCCCGGAGGCUGGACGGGCCACCAAGCUGCGCGGUGUGCGUGCACGUAUGCGGGUGAGCAGGAGGCCGCACCUGUUACAGACCAGCAACGCGCACCCUGGCUCCAUUUUAACACAACUUGCUGCUCCGGGACAUCAAAGCUCUCCCGGCACGGGUGGAUUUUCACUUAAGCAGCACUUUUCCCCAAGGGAGGGGGAGCAGGACCACGCCGGGGCCCUAGCCCAUACGGUGAGGCCUCCCACCUGCUUCGGGCUGACCACAGGGCCGGCGGGGGCCCCGGCCCAAGACACCCACACUUCCAGAAGGCCCGUGCCCAACGCCCACCCACCACGCACACCCACACGGCCCCUUCUUGUGAUCCCAGGGCCCACACCUGGCCCUGGCCUUCCCCUCAGCUGCCCUCUGACCCCUCCACCUCCCCAGUCCCCCCAGGGAAUCGGCCUGGCCUGAACUCCCAGCCCGUCCCUCCAGAGCCCGGCGACGUCCACCCACACGGAGCCCGAAGGACUCACUUCCAGCCCCACAGGAGUUACCACCAACCCCACGGGGAACCCCGGAUCUGACCCAGGGCACAGCAGACUCCCCUCUCCUCCUGGGCCCACCGCCCUCCUCCUUCCUCCCUCCUCACGUGCCCACAUCUGCCGCCCGCCCUGCAGCAGGAGGCCCCCUCGACCCCGAGGCCCCAGUUCCCUCCUGAGCCCCCCGCCUGCAGCCCCCCCGCCCCUGCCUGCUGCCAGGAAGCCACGCCCAAGCCCCUUCCAAGGCCGCCCUGACGCUGGACCCCCGCCCCUGGCACCACCGCCUCUCGCCCCAGGGCUACCCCCUCAGGGGCCAGCUGGGCCAUUGGCCUCGCAGAGGCUGGGGCCCCCAUCCUGUGGCUGCACAGCCUUGGGCACAUCUCCUGACCCCUGCACGCCUCAGUUUCCUCAUCUGUAGAGUGGGGCCACGGCAGAGGCUCCGCUGGGCUGCGGCUGGCGGCAAGCACCCACGGCUUAGCCCAGGGCCGGCUCCAGACGAGCCCUUGAGACGGAGGAAACGCAGGUGCAUCGGAGCACGAACUCCCCCAUCACCUGGAUCCGCAGCCAAGUGUUGCCUGCACCGCCGCCAGGGCCCGCAAGGGCACGGCGCCGUGAGCUCCCUCCCAGGUCACUGCAGUCGCCACGGGUGCCAGACCACCUUCCGUGGGCCUGAGGCUGAGAGGCGGGCCCGGCAGUGCAGCGAUGGGCCUGUGGAGGCGAGGGCCUGCGCUCCCUGGCCCACCUGGGAGGGGAGAGGGCACAGGGCUGGGGGUCAGAGCGACUCUGGUCCCCGCAUGUACGGCCAACCUGCAGGCGUCUGUGGGUGCCGGUGGCCACAGGGGCCUCCGUCGUGGUCAGCGGCUGUGGAGGUGACAAGGGGCAGCUUGCAGCGUCUGUCCUCUGCGUCUGCCACGGUGCCGCUCAAAACGCACCCAGGCACAUCGCGACGUGCCGAGGGGGUGGAGUACAGCGGGCGGCACGGAAGGACAGGUGGGAGGUGUCCCAGGACCGCACGGGGUGAGGGGUGGGACACGUUACUGAAGCCGUUUCAGCUCCUCCUCCGUCCUGUUCCACUGUGGCUCCCAGACAACUGGGACCACGUGCUCUCAUGGGCUCGAUCCUGCAAGACGCACUCUGGUCACGCUUCUGCUCGAGUUUUACACAUUCUUCUCAGUUUGUAAGACUUCUUCAUGAAGUUUCUCAAGACCGCACCUUUACAGAGUCAGCUCCAUCGCCCUUUCCUCAGUGACCCCUUCAGCCAUCGGGAACUCCGAAGCGCCGCCCCGUGCACCCAGAGAAGACACGAUGUGGCUCGUCCCCCUCCCCAGCGCUCCCUGCACAUGGGGGACAGGCCGGGCAGCAGGGCCCGCUCAGCUCACCGCGGUCCGGCGGGCACUGGCGUCCACGGUGCACAGCGGCCGGCGGCCAGGGCCCAAAGGCCACGCAGGGUGCUGGCACGUGAGAGCAGCGACUCUGUCCCUCCUUAGGCCUUCGUGGUCCUCAGGCCCCGGAGGGGUGGCGCGAGGGUCUGAGCUGCAGGCUGUGUCCACAGACGUUCACAAAGAAACGUCCUCAGGAGGUGAGGCCUGUCAUCAGCUCUGGAUCUGAGAGUGCCUUCUAGAGCAGCGCUCACCCAGGCCCGAGGCCCUCCCCGGAGCGCCCUCCCCGGAGCGGGAACUGCGGGUCCACAGGGCACGUGACCCACAGGACAGCAAUGGCGAGGGUCUCCACUGCACCAGCAACGCAGCCCCCGGGCACGCGGACCGUCCGUAUCCCGACCGUGUCCGUCCCCGUCUGCUCGCCCCACACCCAGCUUCUCCCAACCAGCUGCUGCAGCCGAUGGCCUCCACGAGCGACCUCACCGAGGGCCAGAGGGCAGAGGGCCUGGGCCGUGUCGUGGGAACCCUGGUGCCCGAGCCCCAGCCCCAGCCCUGAGCCUGCUCCCUGAGCGGAGUCUUGCCACUCGCCGUGACUCCCACUUCUUCCAGCUGACAAGCAGCUCUGGGGUUUGGCCAGUUCCUAAUUAUGAUAAAUCCUAAUUCCUCCAUUUUUUUCUCUUAUGAAUGAUGCUUUCGGUGUGUCUAAGACAUCGCUGCCUAAUUCAGGAUCACAAGGGUUUUCUCCUAAGAUUUCUUCUAGAACUUCUAUGAUUUUAAGUUUUGUAUUUAGGUCCGCAGCUUACUUUAAUCUCCGUGUGGGGUGCCAAGUACAGAAAUUCUGCAUCUGCAGGUGGACAGACGGACACCAAUUUCCCAGCACCGUCUGCGGAACACACGUCCCGUCCCCUCACGAACUGCAGUCAGCCCUCGUCCCCUGCCUGCCGUGCUCCCGGGUCUCUGGGUCCCUCUUCGGCUCCACUGAUGUGUAGCUCUGUCCCGACACAGAACACCGUCCCCACUGCUACGACUUUACAGUAAAUCCUCAGAUGAGACCGUGUCACGGGUCUCGGCGCGCCCCUGCCACGCCCCGGCCUCGUCCCUCGCUCCAGCACGACCGUCAGGGUCACAUGCGACCUGUCCCACUGUGCACAGCGAACAGGAGGGAGAUGCUUCCACUCAGCCCCGUGUGCUGCCGACUGAACACCUGGGCUCACAUUAGCAAGGCCUCCGCGGACUCCCCAUGGCGCCCCAGCAGCCCCUCGCACCUUCACCCACACACGCGGUUUUGUUCCUUCCUUUCCUUUCCUCUCCUUGUCUGUCUGCACCUGCCAGGACCCCCGGGGCCACAGGGAGCGGGAGGGGGCCGCCAGCGCUGGCGCGGGCUGAAGACCCCCACAACCCGGGACAGGUCCCUCACUUCUUCGUUUCCUGAGACUUCUCAUCAGAAAUGGUUCUAGAAUUUUGCCAGAUGCUUUGUCUGCGUAUAUGGAGAUGAUUGUUGGCUUUUCUUCAUUAAUCUGUCGACGCAGAUUUUAUUGAUUGAUUUCCGAUCUCCAUUUGCUGACGAUGCGCUGCCCUCUGAUACGUAGUGUUUAUGCGGCACGCGUACGCGUGUGACGGGGUCGCGUGCACCGGUCCACACGGUGGAAGUCAGCGUUUUCUCCUUCGCGCGUGUGGGCGACGUGGUGCGUGUACUUCUCAGGACUAAAGCCUCCGCCUGCCGUGGUGUUGGGACUGGCGUCGCAGGAAGAGGAGGCAGCAGCGCCUCCUGGAAGUUUCUGAACAACUGUGAUUGUUUCCUGCUCAAACAUGUGACGGAACUGACCGGGGAAGCCACACGGUCCUGGAGUUCUUUGUUGCGAAGAGCUGGGCAAAUUUUAAUUUUAAUUUAACAGAAAGAGAGCUACUGAAUUCACUUCUUGACCGUAAGCUUUGAAGCUGGACUUAUUUACCAAUAUGUUCCUUUCAUAUAAAAGAUAAAUUUAUUAGCAUAAAGUUGCUUAUGAUACUC